CCAGGCUUGACAUUGAUAGAACCUGGCAGAAAUGCCGGGGUGCCCUUCGGGGCCUAGAAAACAGGUGCUGCAUGGCUGUCGUCAGCUCGUGUCGUGAGAUGUUGGGUUAAGUCCCGCAACGAGCGCAACCCUUGUCGUUAGUUGCUACCAGGUAAUGCUGGGCACUUUAGCGAGACUGCCGGUGACAAACCGGAGGAAGGUGGGGAUGACGUCAAGUCCUCAUGGCCUUUAUGUCUGGGGCUACACACGUGCUACAAUGGCAGGUACAAACCGAUGCGAACCCGCGAGGGGGUGCAAACCGGAGAAAACCUGUCUCAGUUCGGAUUGAAGUCUGCAACUCGACUUCCUGAAGUCGGAAUCGCUAGUAAUCGUGGAUCAGCAUGCCACGGUGAAUACGUUCCC
This 402-nucleotide ribosomal RNA is filed under the name uncultured bacterium. RNAcentral's name for it is "bacterial SSU rRNA". It matches the Rfam family "Bacterial small subunit ribosomal RNA", at positions 975 to 1375 of the family's 1533-position model. The record is from RNAcentral.